GAGGGGAAAGGUUCCAUGUG
RNAcentral lists this small RNA (20 nucleotides) under Arabidopsis thaliana (thale cress). RNAcentral describes it as "Ath_wt_21563". Lineage: Eukaryota; Viridiplantae; Streptophyta; Magnoliopsida; Brassicales; Brassicaceae. The record is from RNAcentral.